GAUGAACGCUGGCGGCGCGCUUAAGACAUGCAAGUCGAACGGUUCAACAACAUUGCUGAGGAUGAAGAUUUAUCAGAUUUCAAAGCGCUGUUGUUGGAUAGUGGCGGACGGGUGAGUAACACGUGAGCAACCUGCCUUCAAGAGGGGGAUAACAGAGAGAAAUUUCUGCUAAUACCGCAUAAGACCACAGCAUCGCAUGGUGCAGAGGUCAAAGGAGAAAUCCGCUUGAAGAUGGGCUCGCGGCUGAUUAGCUAGUUGGUGAGGUAACGGCCCACCAAGGCGACGAUCAGUAGCCGAACUGAGAGGUUGAUCGGCCACAUUGGGACUGAGACACGGCCCAGACUCCUACGGGAGGCAGCAGUCGGGAAUAUUGGGCAAUGGGCGCAAGCCUGACCCAGCAAUGCCGCGUGAAGGAAGACGGUUUUCGGAUUGUAAACUUCUUUUAAGAGGGUACGAUAAUGACGGUACCUCUUGAAUAAGACCG
Molecule: ribosomal RNA, 484 nt
Filed under: uncultured bacterium
Lineage: Bacteria
Description: bacterial SSU rRNA
Rfam family: Bacterial small subunit ribosomal RNA
Source: RNAcentral